Molecule: ribosomal RNA, 406 nt
Filed under: uncultured bacterium
Lineage: Bacteria
Description: partial 16S ribosomal RNA
Rfam family: Bacterial small subunit ribosomal RNA
Source: RNAcentral
AUUGAACGCUGGCGGCAGGCCUAACACAUGCAAGUCGAACGAGUGGCGGACGGGUGAGUAAUGUCUGGGAAACUGCCCGAUGGAGGGGGCUAACUACUGGAAACGGUAGCUAAUACCGCAUACCAUCGGAUGUUCCCAGAUGGGAUUAGCUAGUAGGUGGGGUAACGGCUCACCUAGGCGACGAUCCCUAGCUGGUCUGAGAGGAUGACCAGCCACACUGGAAAGGAGACACGGUCCAGAUUCCAACGGGAGACAGCAGGGGGGAAUAUGGGACAAUGGGCGCAAGCAUGAUGCAGAAAGGCCGCGAGUAUGAAGAAGGAAGUCGGGUUGAAAAGUACUUGCAGCGAGGAGGCGUUACUCGCAGAAGAAGCAUCGGCUAACUACGUGCCAGCAGCCGCGGUAAUAC